GUUGAACGCUGGCGGCAUGCCUUACACAUGCAAGUCGAACGGCAGCACGGGUGCUUGCACCUGGUGGCGAGUGGCGAACGGGUGAGUAAUAUAUCGGAACGUGCCCUAGAGUGGGGGAUAACGUAGCGAAAGUUACGCUAAUACCGCAUACGAUCUACGGAUGAAAGUGGGGGAUCGCAAGACCUCAUGCUCCUGGAGCGGCCGAUAUCUGAUUAGCUAGUUGGUGGGGUAAAAGCCUACCAAGGCGACGAUCAGUAGCUGGUCUGAGAGGACGACCAGCCACGCUGGUACUGAGGCACGGCCCAGACUCCUACGGGAGGCAGCAGUGGGUAAUUUUGGACAAUGGGGGAAACCCUGAUCCAGCAAUGCCGCGUGUGUGAAGAAGGCCUUCGGGUUGUAAAGCACUUUUGUCGGGGAAGAAACACCGGCUCUAACACAGUCCGGGAAUGACGGUACCUGAAGAAUAAGCACCGGCUAACUACGUGCCAGCAGCCGCCGUAA
This 501-nucleotide ribosomal RNA is filed under the name uncultured bacterium. RNAcentral's name for it is "partial 16S ribosomal RNA". It matches the Rfam family "Bacterial small subunit ribosomal RNA", at positions 28 to 523 of the family's 1533-position model. The record is from RNAcentral.